Long non-coding RNA from Brienomyrus brachyistius, 508 nucleotides. RefSeq lists it as uncharacterized. The record is from RefSeq and is a predicted model, not a curated record. The transcript has 3 exons. NCBI's taxonomy places the organism in Eukaryota, Metazoa, Chordata, Actinopteri, Osteoglossiformes, Mormyridae.
CAUUCCCGUAGGAGCGGAAGUGACGAAAUAGAGAAAAUCGAUAUAUCACCAAUAUAAACCCCAAAAUAUAAAUACUGUUUCCAGUCUAUAAAUUAGUUACAGUGUCGGAGUGUAAGAUAAACGACGGAGACAUAUCCACUUUGCAACUAUUUCAACAGGUGGCCUUGCUGGGCUGGCUUCGGUCAGACAGUGCGGAGAGCAAAGAUCUGCUCACUACGCUCACUGGAGCCCGGGUGAUGCAUGCAGUCCACAACCGACUCACAAGACGGAGUCAACUGGAUGCCUAUAAGAGGGAGUGCAUUUUGAGCGUGGCAGACUAUGUGAGGAGACACCCUCGUGCCUCUCAGCAAGAGCUAAGUGCUGAAGUUGAAAAACACGUCAAGCUGUUUGCUGCACGUGUACAGAUGCUGGACUCGACACCUCUCUUCUAACCUUUUACCAUUAUACUCAACACUCAAAGAUACUCAUUCCCGAGUAUUUUUUUUUUGUAAUUUAUACUGUACAUUUA